AACGCUAGCUACAGGCUUAACACAUGCAAGUCGAGGGGCAGCAUGGACCCAGUUUUGCUGGGUUUGAUGGCGACCGGCGCACGGGUGAGUAACGCGUAUCCAACCUGCCCUUUACUCCGGGAUAAUCUCCUGAAAGGGAGUUUAAUACCGGAUGUGUUUGUCUUUCCGCAUGGGAGCGACAAAUAAAGAUUGAUUGGUAAAGGAUGGGGAUGCGUCCCAUUAGCUUGUUGGCGGGGUAACGGCCCACCAAGGCGACGAUGGGUAGGGGUUCUGAGAGGAAGGACCCCCACAUUGGAACUGAGACACGGUCCAAACUCCUACGGGAGGCAGCAGUGAGGAAUAUUGGUCAAUGGGCGGGAGCCUGAACCAGCCAAGUAGCGUGAAGGAUGACGGCCCUACGGGUUGUAAACUUCUUUUAUAAGGGAAUAAAGUUCGCCACGUGUGGUGUUUUGUAUGUACCUUAUGAAUAAGGACCGGCUAAUUCCGUGCCAGCAGCCGCGGUAAUACGGAAGGUCCGGGCGUUAUCCGGAUUUAUUGGGUUUAAAGGGAGCGUAGGCCGGAGAUUAAGCGUGUUGUGAAAUGUAGAUGCUCAACAUCUGAACUGCAGCGCGAACUGGUUUCCUUGAGUACGCAUAAAGUGGGCGGAAUUCGUGGUGUAGCGGUGAAAUGCUUAGAUAUCACGAAGAACUCCGAUUG
RNAcentral lists this ribosomal RNA (696 nucleotides) under uncultured bacterium. Its description in RNAcentral is "bacterial SSU rRNA". It matches the Rfam family "Bacterial small subunit ribosomal RNA", at positions 32 to 715 of the family's 1533-position model. The record is from RNAcentral.